AGCAGCCGCGGUAAUUCCAGCUCCAAUAGCGUAUAUUAAAGUUGUUGCAGUUAAAAAGCUCGUAGUUGAAUUUCGGGGUUAGUACGCUGGUCGUGCCUUCGGUAUGUACUGGUGUUACUGAUUCCUACCUUCUGAAGAACCGUCAUGUCAUUAAUUUGGUGUGGCGGGGAAUCAGGACUGUUACUUUGAAAAAAUUAGAGUGUUUAAAGCAGGCUCGCGCUUGAAUACAUUAGCAUGGAAUAAUGAAAUAGGACGUUUGAUCCUAUUUUGUUGGUUUUCUAGGAUUGACGUAAUGAUUAAUAGGGAUAGUUGGGGGCAUUAGUAUUCAAUUGUCAGAGGUGAAAUUCUUGGAUUUAUUGAAGACUAACUACUGCGAAAGCAUUUGCCAAGGAUGUUUUCAUUAAUCAAGAACGAAAGUUAGGGGAUCGAAGACGAUCAGAUACCGUCGUA
This 450-nucleotide ribosomal RNA is filed under the name uncultured Glomeromycotina. RNAcentral describes it as "SSU rRNA". It matches the Rfam family "Eukaryotic small subunit ribosomal RNA", at positions 569 to 1022 of the family's 1831-position model. Lineage: Eukaryota; Fungi; Glomeromycota. The record is from RNAcentral.